AACCGAAACUGGUGCACAGUAAAACUGAAAUGCCAAAUUUAUAAUUUUUUUUUUUUUUGCUCUUGGCUUGGCUCCUUGUCAGUAUUAACAUAAAGUUAAUUUCUAGUCUUAAUUUCUGUUUAUGCUACAUAUUUCAAAGAUGAACACGAGGAAAGAAAACCCUAAAAUGCUGGCUUCUUGCUAUUUGUUCGGUGUACUUUGAACAGAAGAAACAAAACUGCCAUUUCUUGUGCAAUCAUGCUGGCUGUAUCAAUGCUGUCCUAAUUUUGGAUUAAAAAAUGUGCAAUGCGUUGCCCCGAACAAUGAAAGUAGUUUUUGUGAAUGGAAGCUGCAAGAGGUUCUGCUACCUUAAAAACACUGACCUACCAUUACCAGCCUUGCAUUGCAAGAAAGAAGUUGUAAUGUAAUUAAUUGUGAUAGUUUUUAUAUUAAGUGUUGCAUCCACACUGUUUCUUCCCUUUCAGGAGCAAGCUAUUGACCGAGAGCAGGAGAGAGACAUUUUUCAGGAAGAGAUACAGAAGCCAGAACAACUUCAGCUUAAGAUUCCACAAAGGAUUCAGCCUGUCAGUGAACAUCCGAGCAGAGAGGUAACGCAUGGUAUGACUUGUACUCAAGGAAUAGAAACGGUAUGAUGACGGCUGUUCAGAUCCCCUAAGGAAACUAAUUGAUGGUUUACCUAACAUGAAUCCAUUCAGCAGCAAGGAAAGUCCAUCCCCUCAGAUGAAGGGUACCAUGGUGGGCAAAUGUGGGGAAACUGUCCCCUGGGUGUUUUUUGAGUCAGUUGGUUGGGUGGUUUCAGUAGCAGAGACGCAGAAACUUCAUAACUUUCAAAAAGACUCACCUUUAGGAGUACUUUAGCAUUUCCCCCUGUUGGUCUGUCAUCCCCUGUUUGUAGGGCAGGUAGAGGCACGGCAGGUAAGACGUUAUCAAGGCAUCAGAUCUGAGAUGCAGUGGCACUCUCUGUGUGCCCCUCAAGUGUUCCGCUUCGAAGUAAAACCAGACCAAUGUUGUGUUCUGUAAGUUUGUAUUUUAGC
RNAcentral lists this long non-coding RNA (1034 nucleotides) under Calidris pygmaea (Spoon-billed sandpiper). Its description in RNAcentral is "lncRNA (ENSCPGG00000013112.1)". Lineage: Eukaryota; Metazoa; Chordata; Aves; Charadriiformes; Scolopacidae. The record is from RNAcentral.